Long non-coding RNA from Lineus longissimus, 252 nucleotides. RefSeq lists it as uncharacterized. The record is from RefSeq and is a predicted model, not a curated record. The transcript is spliced from 3 exons. NCBI's taxonomy places the organism in Eukaryota, Metazoa, Nemertea, Pilidiophora, Heteronemertea, Lineidae.
GCGGUCCGUACACAUGUGUUACCAUGGUGUAACUAAGGAAUACACGGAUUGAUCACCAUUUACUAACAAUUCAUGAUGUAUGGUUUCAUGCACUUAGCAUUGGCAGACUGGGUGACGUCAGAACAUGGCGAGAAGGUCUGGCAGGAAAUCAUGCGUCUGUCCGGUAUAGAUUUGGGCGGUGGGUCGUUCCUCGGCAACAAGAUAUACGAAGAAGAGGAGUCGUCAAAACUGCUGGAUACCACCUCUUCAGUA